AACGAACGCUGGCGGCAUGCCUAACACAUGCAAGUCGAACGAUACCUUCGGGUCUAGUGGCGCACGGGUGCGUAACGCGUGGGAACCUGCCCUUAGGUUCGGAAUAACUCCUCGAAAGGGGUGCUAAUACCGGAUAAUGUCUUCGGACCAAAGAUUUAUCGCCUUUGGAUGGGCCCGCGUUGGAUUAGCUAGUUGGUAGGGUAAAAGCCUACCAAGGCGACGAUCCAUAGCUGGUCUGAGAGGAUGAUCAGCCACACUGGGACUGAGACACGGUCCAGACUCCUACGGGAAGCAGCAGUGGGGAAUAUUGGACAAUGGGCGAAAGCCUGAGCCAGCAAUGCCGCGUGAGUGAUGAAGGCCUUAGGGUUGUAAAGCUCUUUUACCCGGGAUGAUAAUGACAGUACCGGGAGAAUAAGCACCGGCUAACUCCGUG
This 433-nucleotide ribosomal RNA is filed under the name uncultured bacterium. RNAcentral's name for it is "partial 16S ribosomal RNA". It matches the Rfam family "Bacterial small subunit ribosomal RNA", at positions 29 to 507 of the family's 1533-position model. The record is from RNAcentral.